This 398-nucleotide ribosomal RNA is filed under the name uncultured bacterium. RNAcentral's name for it is "bacterial SSU rRNA". It matches the Rfam family "Bacterial small subunit ribosomal RNA", at positions 29 to 416 of the family's 1533-position model. The record is from RNAcentral.
AACGAACGCUGGCGGCGCGCCUAAUACAUGCAAGUCGAGCGAGAAGACGUAGCAAUACGUUUGUAAAGCGGCGAACGGGUGAGGAAUACAUGGGUAACCUACCCUCGAGUGGGGAAGUAACUAGCCGAAAGGUUAGCUAAUACCGCGUACGCUCCUCGGACUUCGGUUCAGGGAGGAAAGCGAUACCGUGGGUAUCGCGCUCUUGGAUGGGCUCAUGUCCUAUCAGCUUGUUGGUGAGGUAACGGCUCACCAAGGCUUCGACGGGUAGCUGGUCUGAGAGGACGAUCAGCCACACUGGCACUGCGACACGGGCCAGACUCCUACGGGAGGCAGCAGUAAGGAAUAUUGCGCAAUGGGCGAAAGCCUGACGCAGCGACGCCGCGUGGGGGAUGAAGGUC